GAAAAGGCAAACUUACUGAAAGGUGAGGACGCAAAAUCACAGGUCUAAGGUAAAUGUAUUGCUAAGACGGCUGGUUUGCCGA
This 82-nucleotide non-coding RNA is filed under the name uncultured Ferdinandcohnia sp. RNAcentral's name for it is "Cyclic di-GMP-I riboswitch". It matches the Rfam family "c-di-GMP-I riboswitch aptamer". Rfam says of the family: GEMM was predicted in a large-scale screen for bacterial structured RNA regulatory elements. Genes associated with GEMM are involved in a diverse array of functions, including chemotaxis regulation, signal transduction, secretion and chitin. Lineage: Bacteria; Bacillati; Bacillota; Bacilli; Caryophanales; Bacillaceae. The record is from RNAcentral.